This is a small nucleolar RNA of Anser brachyrhynchus (Pink-footed goose), 154 nucleotides long. NCBI's taxonomy places the organism in Eukaryota, Metazoa, Chordata, Aves, Anseriformes, Anatidae. The record is from Ensembl.
ACGGCACACAUUUGGAGCUUGGAGCUGAGGCUAACUUCUGGCCAAGGAGCUCUCAAGUCUAGGACGUGUGCUACAGUAACCUGGCAGGACUUACUGACAGCUGGAGGGUCUUUUUGGCCCAAUGAAGAGUUUGGUAGUCGUUCUUGCCACAGUU